GACGAACGCUGGCGGCGUGCUUAACACAUGCAAGUCGAACGGAAAGGCCCUGCUUUUGUGGGGUGCUCGAGUGGCGAACGGGUGAGUAACACGUGAGUAACCUGCCCUUGACUUUGGGAUAACUUCAGGAAACUGGGGCUAAUACCGGAUAGGAGCUCCUGCUGCAUGGUGGGGGUUGGAAAGUUUCGGCGGUUGGGGAUGGACUCGCGGCUUAUCAGCUUGUUGGUGGGGUAGUGGCUUACCAAGGCUUUGACGGGUAGCCGGCCUGAGAGGGUGACCGGGGACAUGGGGACUGAGAUACGGCCCAGGCUCCUACGGGAGGCAGCAGUGGGGAAUAUUGCACAAUGGGCGGAAGCCUGAUGCAGCAACGCCGCGUGCGGGAUGACGGCCUUCGGGUUGUAAACCGCUUUCGCCUGUGACGAAGCGUGAGUGACGGUAAUGGGUAAAGAAGCACCGGCUAACUACGUG
This 468-nucleotide ribosomal RNA is filed under the name uncultured bacterium. Its description in RNAcentral is "partial 16S ribosomal RNA". It matches the Rfam family "Bacterial small subunit ribosomal RNA", at positions 28 to 507 of the family's 1533-position model. The record is from RNAcentral.